This 548-nucleotide ribosomal RNA is filed under the name uncultured bacterium. RNAcentral describes it as "partial 16S ribosomal RNA". It matches the Rfam family "Bacterial small subunit ribosomal RNA", at positions 355 to 895 of the family's 1533-position model. The record is from RNAcentral.
UGGGGAAUUUUGGACAAUGGGCGCAAGCCUGAUCCAGCCAUGCCGCGUGCGGGAAGAAGGCCUUCGGGUUGUAAACCGCUUUUGUCAGGGAAGAAAUCUUCUGAGUUAAUACCUCGGGAGGAUGACGGUACCUGAAGAAUAAGCACCGGCUAACUACGUGCCAGCAGCCGCGGUAAUACGUAGGGUGCAAGCGUUAAUCGGAAUUACUGGGCGUAAAGCGUGCGCAGGCGGUUUUGUAAGACAGAGGUGAAAUCCCCGGGCUCAACCUGGGAACUGCCUUUGUGACUGCAAGGCUUGAGUGCGGCAGAGGGGGAUGGAAUUCCGCGUGUAGCAGUGAAAUGCGUAGAUAUGCGGAGGAACACCGAUGGCGAAGGCAAUCCCCUGGGCCUGCACUGACGCUCAUGCACGAAAGCGUGGGGAGCAAACAGGAUUAGAUACCCCUGGUAGUCCACGCCCUAAACGAUGUCAACUGGUUGUUGGGAAGGUUCCUUCUCAGUAACGUAGCUAACGCGUGAAGUUGACCGCCUGGGGAGUACGGCCGCAAGGUU